UACGGGGGGGGCAAGCGUUGUUCGGAAUUACUGGGCGUAAAGGGCUCGUAGGCGGCCAACUAAGUCAGAUGUGAAAUCCCCAGGCUUAACCUGGGAACUGCAUCUGAUACUGGAUGGCUUGAGAUUGGGAGAGGGACGCGGAAUUCCAGGUGUAGCGGUGAAAUGCGUAGAUAUCUGGAGGAACACCGGUGGCGAAGGCGGCGUCCUGGACCAACACUGACACUGAGGAGCGAAAGCCAGGGGAGCAAACGGG
RNAcentral lists this ribosomal RNA (253 nucleotides) under uncultured bacterium. Its description in RNAcentral is "partial 16S ribosomal RNA". It matches the Rfam family "Bacterial small subunit ribosomal RNA", at positions 524 to 776 of the family's 1533-position model. The record is from RNAcentral.